AACGAACGCUGGCGGCAUGCCUAACACAUGCAAGUCGAACGAGACCUUCGGGUCUAGUGGCGCACGGGUGCGUAACGCGUGGGAACCUGCCCUUAGGUUCGGAAUAACUCCCCGAAAGGGGUGCUAAUACCGGAUAAUGUCUUCGGACCAAAGAUUUAUCGCCUUUGGAUGGGCCCGCGUUGGAUUAGCUAGUUGGUAGGGUAAAAGCCUACCAAGGCGACGAUCCAUAGCUGGUCUGAGAGGAUGAUCAGCCACACUGGGACUGAGACACGGCCCAGACUCCUACGGGAGGCAGCAGUGGGGAAUAUUGGACAAUGGGCGAAAGCCUGAUCCAGCAAUGCCGCGUGAGUGAUGAAGGCCUUAGGGUUGCAAAGCUCUUUUACCCGGGAUGAUAAUGACAGUACCGGGAGAAAAAGCUCCGGCUAACUCCGUG
RNAcentral lists this ribosomal RNA (433 nucleotides) under uncultured bacterium. RNAcentral describes it as "partial 16S ribosomal RNA". It matches the Rfam family "Bacterial small subunit ribosomal RNA", at positions 29 to 507 of the family's 1533-position model. The record is from RNAcentral.